Molecule: ribosomal RNA, 420 nt
Filed under: uncultured bacterium
Lineage: Bacteria
Description: bacterial SSU rRNA
Rfam family: Bacterial small subunit ribosomal RNA
Source: RNAcentral
GAGGAAUCUUGCGCAAUGGGCGAAAGCCUGACGCAGCCACGCCGCGUGCCGGAUGAAGGCCCUAUGGGUUGUAAACGGCUUUUGAGGGGGAAGAACGACCGAGUUUCGAUUUGGUGUGACGGUACCCCUUGAAUAAGCACCGGCUAACUCCGUGCCAGCAGCCGCGGUAAUACGGAGGGUGCAAGCGUUGUCCGGAAUCAUUGGGUGUAAAGGGUGCGUAGGUGGGAGCUUAAGUCUGGGGUGAAAUCUUGCCGCUUAACGGUAAAAUGGCCCUGGAUACUGGGUUUCUUGAGUGUAGAAGAGGUAAGUGGAAUUCAUAGUGUAGCGGUGAAAUGCAUAGAUAUUAUGAAGAACAUCAGUGGCGAAGGCGACUUACUGGUCUACAACUGACACUGAGGCAUGAAAGCGUGGGGAGCAACC